RNAcentral lists this ribosomal RNA (252 nucleotides) under uncultured bacterium. RNAcentral's name for it is "partial 16S ribosomal RNA". It matches the Rfam family "Bacterial small subunit ribosomal RNA", at positions 524 to 776 of the family's 1533-position model. The record is from RNAcentral.
UACGUAGGGGGCAAGCGUUGUCCGGAUUUAUUGGGCGUAAAGAGCGUGUAGGCGGCUUUACAGGUCCGUUGUGAAAACUCGAGGCUCAACCUCGAGACGCCGGUGGAAACCGUAAAGCUAGAGUCCGGAAGAGGAGAGUGGAAUUCCUGGUGUAGCGGUGAAAUGCGCAGAUAUCAGGAAGAACACUCGUGGCGAAGGCAGCUCGCUGGGACGGUACUGAGCUAAGGCGCGAAAGCGUGGGGAGCGAACAGG